CCUACGGGUGGCAGCAGUGGGGGAUAUUGCACAAUGGGGGGAACCCUGAUGCAGCGACGCCGCGUGGGUGAAGGAGUAUUUCGGUAUGUAAAGCCCUAUCGGCAGGGAAGAAAUUGGACGGUACCUGACUAAGAAGCCCCGGCUAACUACGUGCCAGCAGCCGCGGUAAUACGUAGGGGGCAAGCGUUAUCCGGAUUCACUGGGUGUAAAGGGAGCGUAGACGGCCAUGCAAGCCAGGGGUGAAAGCCCGGGGCCCAACCCCGGGACUGCCCUUGGAACUGCAUGGCUGGAGUGCGGGAGGGGCAGGCGGAAUGCCUGGUGUAGCGGUGAAAUGCGUAGAGAUCAGGAGGAACACCGGCGGCGAAGGCGGCCUGCUGGACCGCGACUGACGUUGAGGCUCGAAAGCGUGGGGAGCGAACAGGAUUAGAUACCCGAGUAGUC
This 441-nucleotide ribosomal RNA is filed under the name uncultured bacterium. Its description in RNAcentral is "partial 16S ribosomal RNA". It matches the Rfam family "Bacterial small subunit ribosomal RNA", at positions 338 to 795 of the family's 1533-position model. The record is from RNAcentral.